UUAAAGGAAUUGACGGGGACCCGCACAAGCAGCGGAGCGUGUGGUUUAAUUUCGAUGCUACACGAAGAACCUUACCAGGGUUUGACAUGCAAGUGGUAGGAACUGAAAAGGGACCGACCCUUCGGGGAGCUUGCACAGGUGCUGCAUGGCUGUCGUCAGCUCGUGUCGUGAGAUGUUCGGUUAAGUCCGCUAACGAGCGCAACCCUCACUGUGUGUUAUAUGUGUCACACGGGACUGCGGUUUUAAGCCGGAGGAAGGUGGGAUGACGUCAAGUCAGCAUGGCCUUUAUAUCCUGGGCUACACACACGCUACAAUGGUCGGUACAAUAGGUUGCCAAGCCGCGAGGCGGAGCCAAUACCAAAAAAGCCGGCCUCAGUUCAGAUUGUAGGCUGCAACCCGCCUGCAUGAAGAUGGAGUUGCUAGUAACCGCAGGUCAGCUAUACUGCGGUGAAUACGUCCGGGGCUU
This 466-nucleotide ribosomal RNA is filed under the name uncultured Anaerolineaceae bacterium. RNAcentral describes it as "bacterial SSU rRNA". It matches the Rfam family "Bacterial small subunit ribosomal RNA", at positions 901 to 1382 of the family's 1533-position model. Lineage: Bacteria; Bacillati; Chloroflexota; Anaerolineae; Anaerolineales; Anaerolineaceae. The record is from RNAcentral.